CCUACGGGUGGCAGCAGUGAGGAAUAUUGGUCAAUGGUCGGGAGACUGAACCAGCCAAGCCGCGUGAGGGAUGAAGGUACAGAGUAUCGUAAACCUCUUUUGUCAGGGAACAAAGGCGGGGACGUGUCCCCGGAUGAGUGUACCUGAAGAAAAAGCAUCGGCUAACGCCGUGCCAGCAGCCGCGGUAAUACGGGGGAUGCGAGCGUUAUCCGGAUUUAUUGGGUUUAAAGGGUGCGUAGGCGGGCUGUUAAGUCAGCGGGCAAAUGUAGGGGCUCAACCCCGGCCUGCCGUUGAAAAUGGCGGCCUCGAGUGGGCGAGAAGUAUGCGGAAUGCGUGGUGUAGCGGUGAAAUGCAUAGAUAUCACGCAGAACCCCGAUUGCGAAGGCAGCAUACCGGCGCCCGACUGACGCUGAGGCACGAAAGCGUGGGUAUCGAACAGGAUUAGAUACCCGAGUAGUC
This 459-nucleotide ribosomal RNA is filed under the name uncultured bacterium. Its description in RNAcentral is "partial 16S ribosomal RNA". It matches the Rfam family "Bacterial small subunit ribosomal RNA", at positions 338 to 795 of the family's 1533-position model. The record is from RNAcentral.